RNAcentral lists this ribosomal RNA (309 nucleotides) under uncultured eukaryote. RNAcentral's name for it is "partial 18S ribosomal RNA". It matches the Rfam family "Eukaryotic small subunit ribosomal RNA", at positions 1470 to 1796 of the family's 1831-position model. The record is from RNAcentral.
CCCUUAGAUGUUCUGGGCGGCCCGCGCACUACAUUGGCACUCUCAAUAAGUUCCUAGAUCUAAAACUUUGGGGUAUUCUAUUAAGUGGUGUCGUGACUGGGAUUAACCCUUGCAAUUAUUGGUUACGAACGAGGAAUUCCUUGUAAUCGCGGUUUAUCAGCCCGCGUUGAAUGCGUCCCUGCCCUUUGUACACACCGCCCGUCGCUCCUACCGAUGAAUCGUCCGGUGAAGUUCAUGGAGUGGUGGUUGUUCCAGCUGCUGUCGAAGUGAAAUGGACCUCACGAUUUAGAAGAAGGAGAAGUCGUAACA